This 73-nucleotide transfer RNA is filed under the name Ornithorhynchus anatinus (platypus). It matches the Rfam family "tRNA". From Rfam's summary of the family: Transfer RNA (tRNA) molecules are approximately 80 nucleotides in length. Their secondary structure includes four short double-helical elements and three loops (D, anti-codon, and T loops). The record is from Rfam by way of RNAcentral. Lineage: Eukaryota; Metazoa; Chordata; Mammalia; Monotremata; Ornithorhynchidae.
AGCAGGGUGGCCUAGUGGGUAGAGCACCGUCCAGGGAGUCAGAAGGUCCUGGGUUCUAAUCCCGGCUCAGCUA